Molecule: transfer RNA, 71 nt
Filed under: Morus serrator
Lineage: Eukaryota; Metazoa; Chordata; Aves; Suliformes; Sulidae
Description: tRNA-Val
Source: RNAcentral
CAAGACGUAGCUAUAACAGAAGCAUUCAGUUUACACCUGAAAGAUGCCUGCCAACUGCCAGGCCGUCUUGA